Molecule: long non-coding RNA, 952 nt
Organism: Hyla sarda
Lineage: Eukaryota; Metazoa; Chordata; Amphibia; Anura; Hylidae
Exons: 4
Source: RefSeq, a predicted model, not a curated record
AUGCUGGGAGUUGUAGUUAGUGAAAGGUGGUAUCAGGGCAUGCUGUGAGUUGUAGUUAGUGAAAGGUUGUAUCAGGGCAUGCUGUGAGUUGUAGUUAGUGAAAGGUUGUAUCAGGGCAUGCUGUGAGUUGUAGUUAGUGAAAGGUUGUAUCAGGGCAUGCUGUGAGUUGUAGUUAGUGAAAGGUGGUAUCAGGGCAUGCUGUGAGUUGUAGUUAGUGAAAGGUUGUAUCAGGGCAUGCUGUGAGUUGUAGUUAGUGAAAGGUUGUAUCAGGGCAUGCUGUGAGUUGUAGUUAGUGAAAGGUGGUAUCAGGGCAUGCUGUGAGUUGUAGUUAGUGAAAGGUUGUAUCAGGGCAUGCUGUGAGUUGUAGUUAGUGAAAGGUUGUAUCAGGGCAUGCUGUGAGUUGUAGUUAGUGAAAGGUUGUAUCAGGGCAUGCUGUGAGUUGUAGUUAGUGAAAGGUUGUAUCAGGGCAUGCUGUGAGUUGUAGUUAGUGAAUGGUGGUAUCAGGGCAUGCUGUGAGUUGUAGUUAGUGAAAGGUUGUAGCAGGGCAUGCUGUGAGUUGUAGUUAGUGAAAGGUUGUAUCAGGGCAUGCUGUGAGUUGUAGUUAGUGAAAGGUUGUAUCAGGGCAUGCUGUGAGUUGUAGUUAGUGAAAGGUUGUAUCAGGGCAUGCUGUGAGUUGUAGUUAGUGAAAGGUUGUAUCAGGGCAUGCUGUGAGUUGUAGUUAGUGAAAGGUUGUAUCAGGGCAUGCUGUGAGUUGUAGUUAGUGAAAGGUGGUAUCAGGGCAUGCUGUGAGUUGUAGUUAGUGAAAGGUUGUAUCAGGGCAUGCUGUGAGUUGUAGUUAGUGAAAGGUUGUAUCAGGGCAUGCUGUGAGUUGUAGUUAGUGAAUGGUUGUAGCAGGGCAUGCUGUGAGUUGUAGUUAGUGAAAGGUUGUAUCAGGGCAUGCUGUGAGUUGUAG